Non-coding RNA from Pelobates cultripes (western spadefoot toad), 3424 nucleotides. NCBI's taxonomy places the organism in Eukaryota, Metazoa, Chordata, Amphibia, Anura, Pelobatidae. The record is from the annotation of a GenBank genome assembly.
UGCAGUUUUGAAGACACUGUGACAAUACAAUGCUGAUAUGACACUUAUCAAACUGUCAUUUAUGGGUUACAUUGACUUUCAAGAAAAACAUGGAAAUUUGUUGUUUAGGUUUUACGUAAAACACAUACAUGUGUCGGUGGUUACAGUAAGUAAGUUAGACACAAAUAUUUUAUCCAUGAAAUACAUGAUUCUUUGUUUUUUUAACACCUACUAAGUGUUUAUUUUCCUAUGUUUUAAACAGUAUUUCAGAUAGUUCUAAAUUGUUUCUUGAACAGAGAUGGUUUGAUGGAGGUUUUUCAAACAGUCUUCCAAUUCUGCCUGUUGGACGAACAGUAACAGUAUCACCUUUUGGUGGCCGUAACGACAUCUGCCCAAAAGAUAAAGGGCAUGUUGAACUAUAUCUCAAAGUUGCUAAGCAGGAUAUCCUGGUAAGUUAAAUGUGGGUGCAAUAUGUAGCUCUUUUGAUAUAUUGUUUACUUUUCCCUUUAUGUUUAUCGAUAAUAAAAUACUGAAGCUAUUUUUUUUAUUUUAAUAAAACUUAAAAUGUUUUAAAUCUACCAAGAAACUGUAUUUUUCCCAUUCAUUUUAAGGAAAACUUAUUUUUCCCUACCCACUUUUCAAAUUCUGCCUAUUGUGCCAAUCCCUAGACAAUACAUCAUCAACCUCUGGUUCUUUUCUAUUCAAGAUGUAGUUUGACCAGAUAGAAACUUCACAUUCUGUUCAAUGAAGCUUGAAGUAUUGGACAUGCUUAACAUAUAACCACAAUAUAUAUAAAUCUGCUUGCAAAACCUGCAGUUCUCUUGUCUGCUAUCUUUGCAAGCUCUGCCCAGACUUUCUGUAGCUGUCCAAUCACAGUCUUCCCAAUACAGCUCAAUGAGAAGUUUUCGGAAGUCAGGCGCUCUUGGCAAUUGCUGCCUCUUGAGGUCAGCUGCAUUGAGCUAACCAAACCAGGAAGUAACAUUAUCUGUUGUCUGCCUGAAAGCCAAGGGGGUGUAACCAGGUUAAUUUGAAAUUUGCCAUUUUUACAAAAUGAAAAAAAAAGAACAAACUCUACACACAUAAAGCUUUUCAGCAAGCUAAAGCUGCUUAGGGGUCUGGAAUGACCCUUAAACCCCUUAAGGACCAAACUUCUGGAAUAAAAGGGAAUCCUGACAUGUCACACAUGUCAUGUGUCCUUAAGGGGUUAAAGUGAUGAUAAGAAACCAAUGGUGUACUUCUAUUUGUAAAGCUUAAAAAUGUGAGUCACUAGCUGGCAUACAAAUAUAAUUUGCACCUGUGAUUUUCUCCCCUAUAAAUCUAUCAGUGGGCAGAGGGAGAGGAAUAAUUAGCAGAUUUCAACAUUCUUUUGCACAACCCAGUUUUUAUCAGAGCAAGGGUUUGGGGGGAUUUUAGUUCAUUCAUCAGUUUUUUAUGUAUGAACAUUGUUAGCCAGCCUAAAACAUCCAGAAACAUUUGCUGUGCCUUCUGGUGACUAUGUUGGUUCUGAUAUCAUAGUGUUUGGCAAAUAUCACGUCCGCAUUGCACUUGUUAAUUAAAGAGAGAAACUGUUAUGCAUUACCUUGCCCUUUCCUCGCCUGUCUCCUUACUGAGGUGGGUGUUACACUUCUUUAACACCCAUCUUUGGUCCGCGUGUGCUCCUUCUUAGCUCUUCUAUCAUUUGCCCUCCUUGGGGACACUUCUCUCCUCCAUGAUGCUGACAUUCUGGCUUCAUUGCUAUACUGUGAGCCAUGCAAGGAGAAAAAAGUCACACAAUUCUUUUUGUGAUUCUGUGUACAAGUUAAUAACCUGUUAUUAUAUAAAUGGAAAAAAGUUUUUGAAGUAUGCAAAAUUUGAUGCAUUAUCUAUUGUGCAAUGGAAUAAAGAGAAUGGUAGCAUUUUUAAUUCCAAAUAAACAUUGUGGAACCUAGUAUGCUGCUUUGCCAAAGUAUUUUGACAGUCUAGGCAUGUAAAUAAUGCAUUUUUUCUUACAUAAACCUUUCCCACAGCUAUCAACUGCCAAUCUUGAAAGACUUAAUCAAGCAUUGUUCCCACCAAGCCAUGACAAAAUGGAGUCUAUUUUUCAAGAUGGAUUUGAAGACACAGUGAACUUUUUGCAAACAGAGAACUUGUUUGAAUAGAGAUUUGUGAUUGCUGUUAAAUUAAGCAAUGACAUUUUUGAUUGUCAAGAGAUGAAAUGAAACAAUUUCUUGAUGUAUGCGUUAGAAAGACCAUUAAUCAACUGAAAUACACUAAAUGCAAGCAAUGUCUUCACCAGUAUUGUUUAUCUUGUUGAUAUGCCAGAUUAAUAAAACAGUGGGCUAAAAAUAUGAAGGAAUAGCUGACGACUGUGCUUAUUUUGCAUUGUAUUUUGCUAAACAAAGUUACAAAGUAAAGCCAGAGUUAUGAAAAACUUAAACUAUUUAUUUUCAACAGAAUAUGUUGUUUGAUACACUAUUAAAAUCAUAGCAUGCAUUUCGUACAGAUAUAGGCUUAAGAUAUAGGCUUGUCUUCGAUGAUGAAUACUCUGGCUAUUGAUGGAUGAAAAGUAUUAAUCAUGUUUGAAAUGUUCUUUUUUCCUUCUCCUCUUGAGAAAAAAUGUCUGGUUUUCUAAUAACAUGUAUUAUAUUGAGUAUGUCUGGGAAAGAAAUAGUAAGUUUUUUUUAAUUAUUGCUGUUUAUUGUGCACAUUAAUUCUCUGCUGGAACUGUCUGUAUAGUACACAAUCAAACAAAAAUGCUUAUUAGCAAGAGACAGAGAGAAAUAACCAUGUGAAAUAUAAAUUAGGUAUUUUAGCACAUCUCGUUUUUUGUGUGCUAAUUACUGAAUACCUAUUUUGGUAUGGAGUAAGAUAGGCAUUAUAUUUUGUAAUCCUGUUGACCCCCACAGUGACGUGCCACCUCAUUAUUCAAGUUCACGGUGUGUAUUGACAGCAUUUCUCUUAAUAAAUAUGCAUCUUAAAUAAUGUUCACUGUAUCAUGUGCAAUAGUUUAUCACCUGUAUAAGAACAGUACUUUUUUGUCAUUAUAUGUUCACAAAGGUGGACGUAACCGCCUUGGAGACAAAGAUAUGAGAUGACAUUUAGACCUCCGCAGUGACACUGCAGGCCAAACAGUAGAGAAUUGGCUGUUGAGGGCCCUAUGCAGUAAUCAGCUAAGCAAGAAUAUCCUAAUAGACUUGGUGUUUAUACUGUAAGUCUUGCCAAGCUUUUGUCAGGCUCAGGUUCUGCUUCAGAGAUUUUACUGCAUUUUGCAUGCUACAUAGUGGGGUUCAUAACCUUUUAGGCUUUUUUUUUCUUGCCUGUCCCUGAUUACCUCUUUGUUUUUUUUUAUUUGGGUAGUGAGGUCCUUUAAUUGGGAUAUGGGAAUGGCUGCUUGCAUCUAUUUAUGUAUUUUUGCAUGUGUUUGUUCUAUAAAGAAUAAACUAUUUUUAAACUUUUUAUAAGCUGC